Molecule: ribosomal RNA, 319 nt
Filed under: uncultured eukaryote
Lineage: Eukaryota
Description: partial 18S ribosomal RNA
Rfam family: Eukaryotic small subunit ribosomal RNA
Source: RNAcentral
CCCUUAGAUGUCCUGGGCCGCACGCGUGCUACACUGACACUUGCAGCGAGUACUUCCCAUCUCCGAGAGGUAGAUGGUAAUCAGCAAUAAGUGUCGUGAUGGGGAUAGAUCUUUGGAAUUAUGGAUCUUGAACGAGGAAUGCCUAGUAAGCGUAGGUCAUUAGCCUACGUUGAUUAAGUCCCUGCCCUUUGUACACACCGCCCGUCGCUCCUACCGAUUUCGAGUGGUCCGGUGAAUCUUUCGGACUGCGCAGAGUUUCGUACUUUGUCGCGGAAAGUCAGGUAAACCUUAUCACUUAGAGGAAGGAGAAGUCGUAACA